GGAUGUGAGGGUGAUCUGGCUGUGACACCCGUCACCCCAUUGAUCACUAGCGUUGAGUUGGCCGAUCUGGCUGGCUGGGCUGAGGUCCCCUUCCUCCAUCACUGCUCCUUGUGCAUCCCUCCCGAAACUGCACGAUCGGUUUGUCGAAGAGGAUGACCUUCCCCGAUCGAGGAGGAUCAUUCUUCAGGCGAGGCUGUAGGAGUAGUUGCACUUGCCUCUAGAGUCUCCAAAUAAGCUCUCAAGGUCCUUUCUCAGGAGAACGCAGGGUAGUCAAGUUUCCAAGACUCUGGACACAUCCAAAGGAGGUGCUGCAUGACACAGCCUGCCUUUCUUU
Molecule: unclassified non-coding RNA, 334 nt
Organism: Panthera pardus (leopard)
Lineage: Eukaryota; Metazoa; Chordata; Mammalia; Carnivora; Felidae
Gene: 7SK
Rfam family: 7SK RNA
About the family: 7SK was discovered as an abundant small nuclear RNA in the mid-70s but a possible function has only recently been suggested. Two independent studies have found that 7SK RNA binds the CDK9/cyclin T complex (known as elongation factor P-TEFb).
Source: Ensembl